Long non-coding RNA from Mustela erminea (ermine), 3005 nucleotides. RefSeq lists it as uncharacterized. The transcript is spliced from 3 exons. The record is from RefSeq and is a predicted model, not a curated record. NCBI's taxonomy places the organism in Eukaryota, Metazoa, Chordata, Mammalia, Carnivora, Mustelidae.
GGUCUCUCUGGGGAGAAAACGGGCAUGUCUGGCUCCUGUCCCUCGCCUGCCCUCCCUGCUGCUGGGCCUGCGGGCCUGGGAGUGGAGGGAUCCUGCCCCAGCUCUGGCCUCCACCCGCUGUGCGUCGCCGGGGUGGCCACGGCCCAGGCCACGCCAGGCAGGCCCUGCGCCUCCUCUCCCCGUCCUGACCGUCCGCCACUUCGCCCUGCUCCUGCUCUCCUGUGAUUUCUAGGUCCCCAGCGUGCUCGGCCCACGGCCCCGUUGGGACGGAGGAGAUCUGGGAAGUGGAAAGCACAGAGCCGGACGGAGAUGGGGACACAGCAGACCCAGGGACGACACGGCCGCUCUGGCCGGGGCUCAGGCCCGUGGACACCCCACCAGCCCCCAACAGCGGGCCCGGGACGGUCGUUCUGAGGUCCCACCUCCGCAGGCCCCAGCCAUGAGGCUGUGCUCCAGCCUGUGGGGACGUCCCUUGUGUAAGAGCCUGCCUCGUGUCCCCAUGGGGGAUCUUAUCGAACGCUCCGUUUCUCCUCACCUGGGGCCCCAGACUGUCACCUUGGGAGUGUCUCUGGAGUCCCCUCGGCUGUGCCGUCGUGAGGAGGUGAAGUGGGAAGACGGGGGUCUCUGAGGAAAAUGCACGAGACAUGGAUUCGGGAGGGGCGCACAGAGAGGAGGGGCCAGCUGGGGGUCCGGGAGGGCAGUGUGCGGGGCAGCAGACACCACACCCCCGAGGGGUUCUAAGGCUGGGGGAGGGACCACUGGGAGCCCAGCAGAUUCUAAGAGGAGAAGACCCAAGUGGGGUGUUGAUGCCAUGGACCCCCUCCUGCAGGGUCUCCCUCCUGCAGGGUCUCCUGGGACAGUCCCAUCACUCGUGAGCACCUGCGGCAACUGUCCCUCUGGCCGCCUUUCCAGCCUGGCCAGUAGACAGCAGGUGUCCCUGUCACCGGGGCUGGAGGGGGCGCCGCGUGGCUUCACUAAGUCCUGCCCACCCUCUCCAAAGGGCACCUUCCGCCGCCCUCUUCUAUUUUUCUGGUUCGGAUGUGCCAUCUGUUCUCUGCUGGGAAUUUGGCCAAACCUGCCUUUGCCUGACUCUCCUUCGGGGAGGGACUCAGACUGGCACCCUUUCCAUCCGCUCCCCGAGCAGAGGAUAACCUGACCCCCUCUUCCAAGAGUUCUCUGGGGACCAGAGCAGAGUAGGACCCUGCAGAACGACAUGCCGCCUCCCCCAGCUGGCCUGGGUUUCUGGCACCCGGACUGAAAGCAGCGGACCCAGGGCCUCAGCAGACGAGGGAAACUAAGGCCAAAACAAUUUGCAUUUCCUCAACCUACCGCCCAGGGACUGACAAGUCCUCGGAACAGGCAGAGCGACCUUCCUCUAGGGGUUCAGCGGCCUCGAUGCUGACACUUCGCGAAGGGCAACAAGCCAUUCUGGCCCGACCCCCAGGAUCCUGCUACGAUCCUCCUGCCCGCGGCUGCUCUACGGGACGGAAGGAGAAACCCUGCCGUUUCGCUGGAAGUCAGUCCCCGAGCCUGAACGUUCCCAAGGACUCUUCCUCGGGGAGCCUUCUAACCCCCCGGAAACCAUGUGGAUUGCGAAGUUGAGGAAAGGACUGAGCUCCUGUAGCCCCGCGUGGCCUCGGUGGGAUGUGGCGGUUCGUCUCUUCCGCAGGAAGCAGGGCGCAUGGGCGGGGAUGCUCUAGGGCAGCCUGCGGGCUCUGCAUCGGGACCCCGACCUAAGGGGCCUCUUGCAGAACAGGUUGGGUCAGGAACCGGGCUGGUAAAUUCCCUCCCUGCGUGGAGGAUGAUAAUGAUCUAAACAGGCCUGGUCCCGACAGGAUCCAGGUUGCUGGAGGAAACAGGGGCCGUGGUCCCGAGGAGGCGGACGGGGUCUCACGGUCCCUCCUCCUGACGGCUGUGGGGGCGUCUCCUGCAUUUCGCGGGCUGGCUGCAGUUAGAGCCAGCUGUGGGGCUGGACCCGGGGAUGGGGACUUGAAGGAGGUUUCCCAAGCAGCUGCCGAAACUCCCUCUGUGUCCGGGGAGUUUCCUGUCUUCUCCAGCCCGACCUGGACCACAGGUGUCCACGCUGGGGGACAAACAAACAGGGUGUCUGUUCGUCUGUCUGAGCCGAGGAGCUUUAGAACCAAGAAACCGCGUUCUCUGCCUUCUGGGGGCACGUGGCCUCCUCUCCAGCCCUCCCCCUCCCGUGUCUGCAUGGCCCGGGGGCCUCCUGCUUAACUGGCUUUGGGGCCCUCCUUGUUCGCCCCCCCCCCCCCCCCCCCCGCUGUGAGGAGCAGAGAGGAGGGUCAGCGCUUGACCCCGCCCACUCCGGAUUCCCCCCAGGGUCCCAGGGAAAAACCACAGAGGGCAGCAAACUGAUUGGCUUUUAAGUAGGUGUUUUAAUCUGCUUGACUGUCCUGCACCCGUCACGCAAUCAGGUUUUUGUCCACGCACCUGUCUAACUACAGGUACUUGUUCACGUGGGAAGGGCGGCAGGCUCCUUCCCAGAUGGUGUUUAAUAGAAUCGGGUUCAAGAGGUCGGGGGCCCCCACCCCCUAAAGCAUGCUGGCCGGCCAGGAGCCCCCAGGUCAAGCUCUUCAUUUAGCUGUCCCACUGUCCGCAGAGCUGACACCCCCCUUCCCCACCCCGGACGUGGUUGAGACCCCCGAGGCCAUUCCCUUCCUUCUGUCACAUACCAGUUGUAAGUCUUCCCCACAGGAAGACUUUAGAUGGGGCACGGGGUAAGCUGAGGAAAGCUUAGAAUACCAGGACGGGGUCCUUCCCAUUUUAAAGGUAGUUUCCCCCCCCCCGGGAUAGAGGGUCCUUGUCUCUGCCGACCUUUCUUCUGGUCGAGUUCCAUCAAUGUUCCAUGAUUGUUCAUCAGUGUUCCACCAAGGCUUGCCCAAGGUCGGAUAAGCUCCUGAUCUCUGUUGCAACUUAUUAGCAAAAAAAGUGACAUAAGGGCCCUGGGUGGCUCAGUGGAUUAAGCCUCUGCCUUCAGCUCGGGU